RNAcentral lists this ribosomal RNA (194 nucleotides) under uncultured marine organism. Its description in RNAcentral is "partial 16S ribosomal RNA". It matches the Rfam family "Bacterial small subunit ribosomal RNA", at positions 338 to 524 of the family's 1533-position model. The record is from RNAcentral.
CCUACGGGAGGCAGCAGUGGGGAAUAUUGGACAAUGGGCGAAAGCCUGAUCCAGCAGUGUCGCGUGUGUGAAGAAGGCCUUCGGGUUGUAAAGCACUUUCAGCGGGGAAGAAAAGUUUGAGGUUAAUACCCUUAGGCCCUGACAUUACCCGCAGAAGAAGCACUGGCUAACUCUGUGCCAGCAGCCGCGGUAAU